GCCGCUCCGUCCUCCCGACCUGCCACUGAGUCUCUGCACACUUAGCUCCCACCUUCCGUCUCCUGUUCUGUGAUUUUCAAGAUCCGAUGUCUCUAGUUCUUUUCAAGGUGGAGCUUGGGGUAUUUUCUUUUUAUUAUGUUGGGCAAGUUUCUGAAAAGAAAAGGCAGAAACGUGUUUGUUCUGCCAGACAAAGGCUGGCGGGGUCUGCUCCACUGUCACGAUGACGUCAGAGGAGCACAUGGGGUCAGGAGGCACGACCGUGGCCCUGCACGCCUGGCCCCGGCUCAGCUCCUGCAUGUGCACUCCCACACGAAUUUCUUCUGGUCUCACGAUGGAAAUCUGUUUUUAACUUGUUAUGCUUAAUUUCUGUUUGCUUGUUCAGAAGGUGCCUUUCCGAAUGGAAAUCAUUUCUGGAAACCCUUAAGCCUGUGCCUGCUCUUUCUGAACUCCACUUGCUCCAGUCACAGAGUCACCAGGCCAGAGCUGACCGUGUCUGGGAGAAGGGGGGUCAGGGGCUGUGGACGUGUUCUUCACUGGUUCCCAUGGCGAGUCAAGCCCUGACACCUGGCGUGGAGCAGGGCCGCGCAGCACCGGCCGGGACACAUGGUGGGCAGGUGGGCCAAGCUCCGCUUGGCUCAGAGACCCCGGUGUCGCACUCCCGUGGCUUAAAGUUGGCCGUGGAACUGCUUCCUUUGGCUUGUCCCCUCCUCCUCCAGGGAGGCCCUCUGGGAGCAUCCCGCCGUGGACGGUGUGACAGCCCUUCUCCAUCGGAGCAGACAUGGACGUGGUGUGCACAGCGGGCAGAAGGGGUGCCGAGGAGGGAGCCGGAGCACGAGGAGGCACUGACCUCCAUCCCAAGUACAAGUCCGAGCUUCCCCAGGCUGUCUGUCUGAGACAGGGCCCUGCCCUGCGGGGCCACCAACGGGUUGGGACAAACGUAACUGUGACCCCAGAAGUGGACGAGGGAGGAGGUCUCCCGGGUGGGGAGAGGCAUGGGCAGGUGUGGCUGCAGAGCUGGCUUGAACCACCCUCUGUCCAGGUCUGCCACCACCCUCCCUGCGGGUGCCCCAGGCCCCGCGGCGGUCCACACAGUGCUCGCUAACCGUGCGCUCCACAUUGUCUCAGUAGAGAGGGACGCGCCGACCAGACCCUGGCCAUCUCCAGGGCCUAGGGGCUUACCUGCGUGGGGACACACCUGGCAUCCUGUGGCCCAGCCCAGCCGUUAAAGCUCUGAUGACCGGAGCGGCACACGCAGAAGGAAUAUUAGGUCACACCGUGACGUUGAUCACAUCCAGGCUUCAUUAAAUGUGACAUUUACUGAAUAGUAAAGUAUCGCAAAGUGGACACCGUGAUUGUGGAGAAAAUUCUGGAAGUGUACAUGUGGAGGUGGAAGUCUCCUGCCUCGACAAGACUCACCGUGCUUGUGCUCCCAGGGCUGUGCAACCAUCGCCACUGUCUCUUUCAGAACAUUUUCAUCCCACCGGAAAGAAGCCUGCACCCUUCACCCUGCCCCCGGCAGCCUUCAGUCUGCUUUCUGUCUCGAUGGAUUUGCCAGCUCUAAACACUUUAUAUAAAUGGAAUCAUGUGUACGUGGUCUUUUGCGACUGGUCUCCACAUAGUGCUUUCAAGGUCUAUCCAUGUCGUGGGAUGAAUCAGUACUUCCUUCUUUUACGGCCAAGUAAUAUUCCCUUUUGUUUAUCCAUUAGUCAUUUGACACCUGUAUUUUUGGGGGGUAUUUUGAAGAAGGCUGGCAUUCAUAUUUAUGUACAAGGGGUUUUUUUGUGGAUAUAAGUUUUCAAUUCUUUGGGUAUAUACCUAGAAGUACGAUUGCUGGCUUAUGUGAACACUCACUGUGUAACUUUUUGAGCUAAUUGGCUAUUUCUGUAUUUUCUUUGGGGAAAUAACUAUUUAGAUCCUUUGCUUACUUUUUAAUGAACUGUCUUUUCAGUGUUAAGUUGUAAGAGUUCUUUAUAUAAUCAAGCCUUCAUCAGACACACAAUUGGUGAACAUUUCCCCCCAUUCACCUGGGAGAACGGUUGUCUAAUGGUUGUAUUUUAUCUUCCUUGGUGUUGUCUUUCAAAGCACCAAUGUUUUUAAUUUUGAAGAAGUCUAAUUUACCUGUUUUUAGUUUGGUUACUUGUACUUUUGGUGUCAGAUCUAAGAAACCAUUGGUCACUACAAGGCCAUCCAGAUUUAUGCCCGUGUUUCCUUCUGAGAGCUGUACAGUUUUAGCUCCUACUGUUAGGUCUUUGCACCAUUUUGAGUUAACCUUUGGUGUGAGGUAAGGGACCAGCUUCAUUCUUCUGUAGUUGUCAUAGCACUGCUUGUUGGAAAGACCAUUCUUCCCCUAUUGAAUUGUCUUGGCUCCCCUGUUGCCAUUCAAUGGAUCAUACCUGUAAGGGUUUAUUUCUCAGCUCUCAAUUCUAGUCCAUUGAUCUGUAUGUCUAUUCCUGUGCCAUUUCCACUUAACAAUAUAUAUUGAAGAUGUUAAUAUAUCAGGACAUAAAAAGCUCCUUCAUUCUUUUCUGUUGCUAUUGAGCAUGACUCGAACUUUACUGAAUGUAUGUAAUUUUAACUUGACCCAUUUCUCAUUGAUAAUAUAUUGUUUACAAUCUUAUGGCUAGAAUGAUUACACACACACCUUUCUAACUGUGUAGAUAUGCCCAUAUAUCUGUAAGAUAAAAUUGUCAUAAGUAAAAUCAC
Molecule: long non-coding RNA, 2703 nt
Organism: Ailuropoda melanoleuca (giant panda)
Lineage: Eukaryota; Metazoa; Chordata; Mammalia; Carnivora; Ursidae
Exons: 3
Source: RefSeq, a predicted model, not a curated record